CGAGAAAUAAAACUUCCCCGAUCCCAACUCCGCCUCUCUUCAAGUCUUCUUCCUAUUCCACCAUGAAAAAUAUUCUACCCCCAUUCGUCUUCCUCGCCAAAGUCUUUGCAAUUUGAAGUAAAAAAUCAAGGUUUUGUGUAUAAGGUUGAAGAAAGUGACAAAGAUCUAAAAGUUAAAGGUAAAGUUUUUUUUUUUUUUUUUUUUUUUUUCUUUUAUUGUAGUAUCUUGUAAUUUUUUUUUCGUGUUUAUGUAUGGGCGGGGAUUUUCACUAGGGUUCUUUGUUGGUUUUUUUUGUUGUAGAAAGUUUGGUUGGAUUUCAAAAAUUAGGGUUUAUUUGUUGCGUUUUCGUUCAUAUUUUUCAGUUUGUUUAGAUUCUUGUUUAUUUCAAUUUCUUCCCUAACCUCAUUUUUUUAUUCUAUAAAUUGGCAGAAAAGAUAAUUUGGUCGAUAAUCUGUUUCAAUCAUUUUAAGUAUACUUGGAUGAAUUGCCAUAUAUUUAAGUGUGUUCUGUUACUGCUUGAGACAGAAAUUUUAUUUUGAAUUUUUUUUGUCAAUUGAUUUGACUGCACUUGGUUUUGUUGCUACCAAGUUAGUUCUUGUUAUUAAUAGAAAUCACAAUACUAGCCAUCAUUUAAUUGCACUUGGUAUUUUAUUUGAGUCUAUUUGUAAAGAACAACUGUUGUUGGUAGACGUUUCUAUCAUCUUUUCAAGGUGUGUUCCUCUUUCAUGCAUCCCUUCUUAAGAUGAAAAGAGAGAGGUGCUUGACCCUUAAAAACUACUCUUUCAGACACUUGCUUUACUAGGUUUUCUUAAACUUUGCUUUGACUCUAAAAUCUUCUUCAUUUCAAUGGGUUGUACAGUUUUUUUUAUUUUCCUUGUGCUACUUGCAAAUGACCAGCCUAUAUAUAUAGGCCAUCCCUUAUACUUUCAGACCAAUUUGUGUUCCAGACUCUUGGUGAUUAGAAAUUUAGAAUCAUAGAUUUUAAUUCAAGUGGCCAACAAGUUGAAUUGUUAGGAGAAACAAACCCGACCUUGUGGUUUAUAGGCCAUGUUGUUAUGCAUCAGCUGUUCCUGCAACUGGCCAGUAGAAGAAAUACGAUGACAUGAAUACGUGUUAUUCACAUGAACUGAGUCAACUAACAGACCAAAACACUAUGUGUAUAGGAAGAAUGAAUUACAUUGGAUGAGAGGAGUAACAUGAUGGUCAGAAUUAUAUAGACCUCAGAGCAGAGGUACCAUCGUCCAUCAAGGAAUAGGUCUGAUAGGGACUUCAGACCACGUAAAAAAUUCAAGGUGGCGGAUGGUCGAGGAUGUUUGGUUUGGUUCAUUACUUCAGAUUUUUCCUGAAACUAUAUUUGAAACUUUGAAUUCAUUUGCUCAACUAGGCAUCUUCUGAUAUUAAUUAGUGUUCCUAUUAGUGGUUCACAUUUUGCUCAACUUCUGAAUGCAUGAAUGUCUAUUAUGUGGGCUAUCAAAACUAUAGCAGAACAUGGAUGUCAAAUAUUUUUGGAUGAAAUAAGCUAAUCGAAUAGUUGGCAGGUGAUAGAACAGUAUAGGUGCUCAUGAACUGUCGAGGCAUUGUUUUUAAAUUUCUUUAUAACAUGGCAAUCAAUAUAUUUGUUGUUUAAUGAAUUAAUUUUGGUUUAGUACAAAACUGUCAACGUGGUGGUUGAAAGUCUUGGAAUGGCUUUGAUAUACCAUAGAUGGUAUAAUUAGGAAAAAAUGAUUUGCAUUUAAUAGAGGUUUGGAAAAUGUCGUCAGGGUGAUGGCAUGUGUGUUUGAAAGGGACUCAAGAGGGGAUUGAGUAGGGAUAUUCCUGGAACUCCUUUGGCUAGAUUCACUUUUGCAGUUCAUGCAAUUAAUGUUAGUUUCAAAGAGUUUCAUAUAAUAAGCUCAUUGUAUUUUUGUCAUUUUUUAUUUUUAAAUUGUGUUAAUUAGAAUGUUAUAUCUCAAUCUUGUGUAAUGAAUGGCUAUGGACAUGGGGUUGCUCAAGUAUGGUUUCUAAAAGCAUUCCAUGACUUUUUUUAUUUAUUAUUUGGAAGAAUUAUGGGUUGAGGCAGACCCUAACCUGUAUUAGAAAAAUCUACCAUAAAUAGUUAUAAUAUCCUCCCUUACAAUGUUUGACAAAUUCUGAUUAAGGGGAGGAGUAAAACAAAUAAAAUUACACAAGUCCGACUUGUCUAGGGAGGCUAACAGAUCUGCAACCCUGUUUAUCUCUCUCUAUAUGUGUGCGAAACUUAUACUUCCACACUUCCUUGGAUUAAUCCUGAUAGAAGCUAUAAGAUCCUUGCAGUACUAUGGUAUAGUAUGUUUAGAUGAUAUCCAGCUUCAAUACACAGCCUAGCACAACUUCCAAAGCUUUAAGCUUCUGGUAGAUAAUAGAAUGCCUACUCCCACUGCCAUGAAAGCAAAAGACAACCUCUCCAUUUGCAUAUCUGACUAUGCUCCCAACUUCCAAAGCUUUAAGCAUUCCAUGACUUUGAGUCAGGGGAAGUUGUAGAUAUUACUGCAUUGAUUUCCGAUAGGUGGUGUUUGCAAAGUAGUUCCAUUAUAUAAUAUAUAGAAUACUUACUGCCCUAUUCUUGUUAAUACAUUCUACUUGUUCAAUUAUUUUAAAGCUUUCUUUUAUUGAUUCAGGUUGAUAAUUUUCAUGGGGUUGAAUCUAGUAUCUCUUGGUAUGUCUAGGCUCCUUAUGUUAUUUAUGUGUUUGCAUGUUGUUCACUAAGAGCUAGAAUAACUGAAAUGGUUUGUGUAUCUGUUUGCAGCUUGCAGUUGUAGUAAGCCAUGCUACACUAGUAUUCGUUUAUACAUUUACUUAAUUUUAUAUUCAAGUGAGUUGUGUGUCUUAGUGAUUAUUCUGUUCUAAAUCUCAUGAACUUUUUUUUUCUUAUGUUUGUCCAGUAACUUCUUUGCGCAAUUGGCUUUAAUUAUCAAGACAUAGACAGUUCUAUGCUUCUAAGGUCGUGUUUUAUGGUUAUAGGUGCUAUAAGGUUAGCUACAGACUCGAAGAGAUGGACCUGAGCAUCUGAUGUUCAACCAUUCAAAGUUUCUACUGUAUACAGAGUAUCAUUCUUAGGUCCUCAAUUGUCUAUUCUCAGGGGCAGUAGCAAGGUGAUUAGUUUAUGGAGCUUUAACUAGUAGAGCAUUCUCUUCCUUUCAAGGGCAGCAUUGACUUUGGAACUCUAUUUAACAUGAACGGUAAAU
This 3203-nucleotide long non-coding RNA is filed under the name Aquilegia coerulea. RNAcentral's name for it is "long non-coding RNA (ACOE_LNC001132)". Lineage: Eukaryota; Viridiplantae; Streptophyta; Magnoliopsida; Ranunculales; Ranunculaceae. The record is from RNAcentral.